GAUGAAGAACGCAGCGAAAUGCGAUAAGUAGUGUGAAUUGCAGAAUUCAGUGAAUCAUCGAAACUUUGAACGCACAUUGCGCCUCCUGGCAUUCCAGGGGGCAUGCCUGUUUGAGCGUCAUUUAGUAAUCUUCGAGCGAGUUCGCCUCGCUUGGGCCUGGGAGAUGGAUGCGCGCUGGUGCACCCACCCCCAAAAUACAACGGUGGAUACCCCGCCCUUGGAACUGCAGCGUAGAAAGUCAUUCUUUCGCGAGCGGCCACGGAGGGAUUAUCCAGCCCGGCAAACCCCCAAAUCCAACGGUUGAACUCGGAUCAGGUAGGAAUACCCGCUGAACAUAAGCAUAUCAAUAAGCGGAGGA
Molecule: unclassified non-coding RNA, 358 nt
Filed under: soil metagenome
Description: partial contains 5.8S ribosomal RNA, internal transcribed spacer 2, and large subunit ribosomal RNA
Rfam family: 5.8S ribosomal RNA (bases 1-120)
Source: RNAcentral